Piliocolobus tephrosceles (Ugandan red Colobus) is the source of this 516-nucleotide long non-coding RNA. Lineage: Eukaryota; Metazoa; Chordata; Mammalia; Primates; Cercopithecidae. The record is from Ensembl.
AACGGAUUGAUGAUAUAAUUUUGAAUUAUUACAACAUUGACAGUGGUACGAAAAGAAAGUAAAAUCAACAAAAUAAUUACUGUCUUUAUUACUUUUUCUUCAUAAUAUUUAUAUAUAUAUUUUUUUUUUUUUUUUUUUUUUUUAUAGAAAGUACACUUGAAUAUAUUGUUAAAAAUGUGCUUUUUACUCAAAAUUUGUUAAGCGAAAAGUACCCCUGCAACAUACCCAAGUUGAAAAACUUGAAAACUGGGUAUAUAGAAUAUUAUGAAAGGAGCAGGACAAAGAAAAAAUUAAAUUCUAAAAAAAAGGGUAAAGAUAAUAAGAACAAAUCAAGUGAAAAUAAUUUUGAUGACAAAUCACCUGAAGAAACCUCAAAAGACAUGGGUAUAAGUUAUGAUGAAGAAUAUCGUUCUGUUUGAUUUAGCAACAGCUGUUAUGCAUUUAUAUAUAUAUAUAUAUAUAUAUAUAAUAUAUAUAUUAUUUACUAAUUUAAACUUUCAUAAUUUUUGCAACCCU